RNAcentral lists this ribosomal RNA (823 nucleotides) under Nothacrobeles spatulatus. Its description in RNAcentral is "eukaryotic LSU rRNA". It matches the Rfam family "Eukaryotic large subunit ribosomal RNA", at positions 272 to 934 of the family's 3401-position model. The record is from RNAcentral. Lineage: Eukaryota; Metazoa; Nematoda; Chromadorea; Rhabditida; Cephalobidae.
GUUUGGGAACGCAGCCCAAAUUGGGUGGUAAACUUCAUCUAAGGCUAAAUACGGCCCCGAAACCGAUAGCAAACAAGUACCGUGAGGGAAAGUUGAAAAGUACUUUGAAGAGAGAGUUCAAGAGGACGUGAAACCGGUAGGAUGGAAACGGAUAGAGCCAACGAACAAGCCCGUAUUCAGCUAGUCGGCUGCGUGCGGCAUGCCUGCGUUUCUCGUAUAUAGGACGUAGGUGUGUGCGGUAUGCGGUCGGUUAGUGCAUUUGCGGGUGAUGUGCGCUGAGGCGUGUAGUGGUGUCCUGCAAACCGUGUAGAGAGGCCUCGUCUUCGGACUUGGAACCUAUGCGCGGGGAGUGGGGUCGCUGCUGCAUGUAGCUUGACGGUUAGGUGUACUCGCGCUGUCGUAUCGUCGGGUCAGUUCUCUGAGCGGUCGCAUGCGACUUGCUCUCUGAGCCGGUCUUGGCGGUGCGGUAGUGCCCUGACCGAUCCUCGGUGUAAAAGUUGGUCAUCUCUCCGACCCGUCUUGAAACACGGACCAAGGAGUCUAGCGUAUGCGCGAGUCAUUGGGUGGAAAACCCAUAGGCGUAAUGAAAGUGAAGGCAUCUUCAGAUGCUGAUAUGCGAUCCGUCGUGCCUCGGUGCGGCGGAGCAGCAUAGCCCCGUCUCGACCGCUUGCGGUGGGGCGGAGGUAGAGCGUAUUCGCUGGUACCCGAAAGAUGGUGAACUAUGCCUGAGCAGGAUGAAGCCAGAGGAAACUCUGGUGGAGGUCCGAAGCGCUUCUGACGUGCAAAUCGAUCGUCUGACUUGGGUAUAGGGGCGAAAGACUAA